Long non-coding RNA from Pongo pygmaeus (Bornean orangutan), 538 nucleotides. RefSeq lists it as uncharacterized. The transcript is spliced from 3 exons. The record is from RefSeq and is a predicted model, not a curated record. NCBI's taxonomy places the organism in Eukaryota, Metazoa, Chordata, Mammalia, Primates, Hominidae.
AAACCUCCUCUCCUGUCUUCAUGUGGAUGCUAACUUAAAACUCUAUUUCUGGGUCAGAUAACUCCCUGCUCUCAGCCCUGAUGACUACACCUUUGACACACACUAUAUUGCUCCAUUGUCAGCCACCCUCCCUCCCACUGCCCUGAAGAUGGAAAUAUACCCAACCUUCAAGCCCCUGUCGCUCCAGCUCGCAAAGUUUUGGGCUGAAGAUCCAUUAUGAGACAAAUGAGAUGUUUAUCUCCACUUACACAGCCUACGGCUUGUGUGUUGAGAAAGAUAUUGAGCCAACAAAAUGAUCUGCAACACAAAAUUCUAUUCUCCUCUUCACUCUUUAUUGUUAAAGCGCUUAUUUCAUUGGUUUCAAGCUGCUUUAAAAGGAGUGAAUGUGCAGGUGAAACUACCUACAGAGGCACUACCCUAACAUGCUUAAGGAUGCUUGAGAAAGCCCUGACCCUACAAAAAGGCGUAAGACCCGUGGCAAGAAUGAAGGAGUCAAGCAAUGUGAAAAGCUCCUGAAGCCCAAGGUUCUCUUCCCCAG